AUUGAACGCUGGCGGCAUGCCUUACACAUGCAAGUCGAACGGUAACGGGCCUUCGGGUGCCGACGAGUGGCGAACGGGUGAGUAAUACGUCGGAACGUGCCCGAUCGUGGGGGAUAACGAGGCGAAAGCUUUGCUAAUACCGCAUACGAUCUACGGAUGAAAGCAGGGGACCGCAAGGCCUUGCGCGGACGGAGCGGCCGAUGGCAGAUUAGGUAGUUGGUGGGAUAAAAGCUUACCAAGCCGACGAUCUGUAGCUGGUCUGAGAGGAUGAUCAGCCACACUGGGACUGAGACACGGCCCAGACUCCUACGGGAGGCAGCAGUGGGGAAUUUUGGACAAUGGGCGCAAGCCUGAUCCAGCCAUGCCGCGUGCAGGAUGAAGGCCUUCGGGUUGUAAACUGCUUUUGUACGGAACGAAAAGCCUUCUUUUAAUACAGGAGGGUCAUGACGGUACCGUAAGAAUAAGCACCGGCUAACUACGUG
This 482-nucleotide ribosomal RNA is filed under the name uncultured bacterium. Its description in RNAcentral is "partial 16S ribosomal RNA". It matches the Rfam family "Bacterial small subunit ribosomal RNA", at positions 30 to 507 of the family's 1533-position model. The record is from RNAcentral.